Apis cerana (Asiatic honeybee) is the source of this 375-nucleotide long non-coding RNA. RefSeq lists it as uncharacterized. The record is from RefSeq and is a predicted model, not a curated record. Lineage: Eukaryota; Metazoa; Arthropoda; Insecta; Hymenoptera; Apidae.
AUAUAUCCUUGGGCUCCAAGUUUUUGCGAAAGUUUCGUAUCAACAGGUCACGUGGCAAACACAGAGGAUUUCGUAUCGGGAAGAGGUCGGGGCUCGCAUACGUCCCCGACCAUCGAUCGAGUCGAGUCGUGUCGUUUGCGUGAUAAACGUGUUUCUGGCUUGUAGUAUCGGAAAUAUUCACUACGCAAUUUGUAAACGCGUAAUUAGUGGCGUGUCGGGACAACGAGCGCGUGGGACAGUGGUGCAGUGGUUCACUGGUGCGAACAUCAACGCCGUUUAAGGUAAGAAAUCGCCGAAAAACUCGUAAACGAGACAAAUUGGGUACAAAUGAUUGCUUAUUAACAGUUUCGCGAAAUAACUUCGUCAAACUCUCAC